This 253-nucleotide ribosomal RNA is filed under the name uncultured bacterium. RNAcentral describes it as "partial 16S ribosomal RNA". It matches the Rfam family "Bacterial small subunit ribosomal RNA", at positions 524 to 776 of the family's 1533-position model. The record is from RNAcentral.
UACGUAGGGGGCAAGCGUUGUCCGGAAUCAUUGGGCGUAAAGCGCGUGUAGGCGGUCCGGUAAGUCGGCUGUGAAAGUCCAGGGCUCAACCCUGGGAUGCCGGUCGAUACUGCCGGACUAGAGUCCGGAAGAGGCAAGUGGAAUUCCCGGUGUAGCGGUGAAAUGCGCAGAUAUCGGGAGGAGCACCAAUGGCGAAGGCAGCUUGCUGGGACGGUACUGACGCUGAGACGCGAAAGCGUGGGGAGCAAACAGG